UUAGUACUCCCUCCGUCCCGAAAUACUUGUCGGAGAAAUAGAUGUAUCUAGAUGUAUUUUAGUUGUAGAUACAUCCAUUUUAAUGCAUUUCUAUGACAAGUAUUUCCGAACGGAGGGAGUACGUU
Molecule: non-coding RNA, 125 nt
Organism: Triticum aestivum (bread wheat)
Lineage: Eukaryota; Viridiplantae; Streptophyta; Magnoliopsida; Poales; Poaceae
Source: Rfam